This 65-nucleotide transfer RNA is filed under the name Geocharax gracilis. RNAcentral's name for it is "tRNA-Asp". Lineage: Eukaryota; Metazoa; Arthropoda; Malacostraca; Decapoda; Parastacidae. The record is from RNAcentral.
AUAAAAAUUAGUUAAAUGUAAUAACACAAGUUUGUCAAGCUUGAAUAAUCUCCUAGAUAUUUUUA